Linepithema humile (Argentine ant) is the source of this 700-nucleotide non-coding RNA. The record is from RefSeq and is a predicted model, not a curated record. NCBI's taxonomy places the organism in Eukaryota, Metazoa, Arthropoda, Insecta, Hymenoptera, Formicidae.
CAAAUUGUACCUAACAAUUGGUUUACUUGUAAAAAAAAAUCCGCAAUAUAUUGGCCAAAUGUAACAAAUCAGAAAGAAUAUGAUAAAGCAGUUGAAAAAAUGAAAGAUUUUAAUAAUAAUAAUUCAACAAUAAUAUCUGUUAAAAGAAUAUUUACAAGUACAGAUACUUUUAUUAAAGCAAAAGAGAAAUUAAAAUUAGCCAAAAAAUUAUCAGAUUUAAAUUCAGAUGAAGAUACAGAAGUUUUAAAAAAUAGAAGAAGAUUCUAUGCAGCAAAAGUUUUUUCAUCAUCAAGUAGCGAAAAAAGAAAUUCAAAAUCCUAUGAAAAAAAGGAAAAUAGAUACUUAUCCACAAGUACCACAAAUUUCGAAGAAUUCUAAAUUACGUCAUGAAAAUAAAAAUAAAGAAAACUUUUCAUCAGCACAGGAAAAUGAAAUGCAGCACAUGAGUUCUCAAUAUUCUAAUUUUUCUUCAGAUAAUUAUCCAAAAGCAUCCCAAAUGUUAAAAAUUCUACAAUACGUCAUCAAGUACUCGAAAAUAAAAAACUUUUUAUCAGAAGAAGAAGAUAAAAUGCUCAUGAGUUCACAAAAUUCUAAUUUUUCUUUAGGUAUUUAUCACAUAAAUUAAUAAAGAUAUCUAUUAUAUUCUGACUUUAAUAUUUUGAUUUAGAUAAAUAACACGAUACUUUAUAUUCACGAUUCU